This 2066-nucleotide ribosomal RNA is filed under the name Escherichia coli UMEA 3176-1. Its description in RNAcentral is "bacterial LSU rRNA". It matches the Rfam family "Bacterial large subunit ribosomal RNA", at positions 1 to 2092 of the family's 2925-position model. The record is from RNAcentral. Lineage: Bacteria; Pseudomonadati; Pseudomonadota; Gammaproteobacteria; Enterobacterales; Enterobacteriaceae.
UUAAGCGACUAAGCGUACACGGUGGAUGCCCUGGCAGUCAGAGGCGAUGAAGGACGUGCUAAUCUGCGAUAAGCGUCGGUAAGGUGAUAUGAACCGUUAUAACCGGCGAUUUCCGAAUGGGGAAACCCAGUGUGUUUCGUCACACUAUCAUUAACUGAAUCCAUAGGUUAAUGAGGCGAACCGGGGGAACUGAAACAUCUAAGUACCCCGAGGAAAAGAAAUCAACCGAGAUUCCCCCAGUAGCGGCGAGCGAACGGGGAGCAGCCCAGAGCCUGAAUCAGUGUGUGUGUUAGUGGAAGCGUCUGGAAAGGCGCGCGAUACAGGGUGACAGCCCCGUACACAAAAAUGCACAUACUGUGAGCUCGAUGAGUAGGGCGGGACACGUGGUAUCCUGUCUGAAUAUGGGGGGACCAUCCUCCAAGGCUAAAUACUCCUGACUGACCGAUAGUGAACCAGUACCGUGAGGGAAAGGCGAAAAGAACCCCGGCGAGGGGAGUGAAAAAGAACCUGAAACCGUGUACGUACAAGCAGUGGGAGCACAGAGCAAUCUGUGUGACUGCGUACCUUUUGUAUAAUGGGUCAGCGACUUAUAUUCUGUAGCAAGGUUAACCGAAUAGGGGAGCCGAAGGGAAACCGAGUCUUAACUGGGCGUUAAGUUGCAGGGUAUAGACCCGAAACCCGGUGAUCUAGCCAUGGGCAGGUUGAAGGUUGGGUAACACUAACUGGAGGACCGAACCGACUAAUGUUGAAAAAUUAGCGGAUGACUUGUGGCUGGGGGUGAAAGGCCAAUCAAACCGGGAGAUAGCUGGUUCUCCCCGAAAGCUAUUUAGGUAGCGCCUCGUGAAUUCAUCUCCGGGGGUAGAGCACUGUUUCGGCAAGGGGGUCAUCCCGACUUACCAACCCGAUGCAAACUACGAAUACCGGAGAAUGUUAUCACGGGAGACACACGGCGGGUGCUAACGUCCGUCGUGAAGAGGGAAACAACCCAGACCGCCAGCUAAGGUCCCAAAGUCAUGGUUAAGUGGGAAACGAUGUGGGAAGGCCCAGACAGCCAGGAUGUUGGCUUAGAAGCAGCCAUCAUUUAAAGAAAGCGUAAUAGCUCACUGGUCGAGUCGGCCUGCGCGGAAGAUGUAACGGGGCUAAACCAUGCACCGAAGCUGCGGCAGCGACGCUGAUGCGUUGUUGGGUAGGGGAGCGUUCUGUAAGCCUGCGAAGGUGUGCUGUGAGGCAUGCUGGAGGUAUCAGAAGUGCGAAUGCUGACAUAAGUAACGAUAAAGCGGGUGAAAAGCCCGCUCGCCGGAAGACCAAGGGUUCCUGUCCAACGUUAAUCGGGGCAGGGUGAGUCGACCCCUAAGGCGAGGCCGAAAGGCGUAGUCGAUGGGAAACAGGUUAAUAUUCCUGUACUUGGUGUUACUGCGAAGGGGGGACGGAGAAGGCUAUGUUGGCCGGGCGACGGUUGUCCCGGUUUAAGCGUGUAGGCUGGUUUUCCAGGCAAAUCCGGAAAAUCAAGGCUGAGGCGUGAUGACGAGGCACUACGGUGCUGAAGCAACAAAUGCCCUGCUUCCAGGAAAAGCCUCUAAGCAUCAGGUAACAUCAAAUCGUACCCCAAACCGACACAGGUGGUCAGGUAGAGAAUACCAAGGCGCUUGAGAGAACUCGGGUGAAGGAACUAGGCAAAAUGGUGCCGUAACUUCGGGAGAAGGCACGCUGAUAUGUAGGUGAAGUCCCUCGCGGAUGGAGCUGAAAUCAGUCGAAGAUACCAGCUGGCUGCAACUGUUUAUUAAAAACACAGCACUGUGCAAACACGAAAGUGGACGUAUACGGUGUGACGCCUGCCCGGUGCCGGAAGGUUAAUUGAUGGGGUUAGCGCAAGCGAAGCUCUUGAUCGAAGCCCCGGUAAACGGCGGCCGUAACUAUAACGGUCCUAAGGUAGCGAAAUUCCUUGUCGGGUAAGUUCCGACCUGCACGAAUGGCGUAAUGAUGGCCAGGCUGUCUCCACCCGAGACUCAGUGAAAUUGAACUCGCUGUGAAGAUGCAGUGUACCCGCGGCAAGACGGAAAGACCCC